This 73-nucleotide transfer RNA is filed under the name Agrilus planipennis (emerald ash borer). It matches the Rfam family "tRNA". From Rfam's summary of the family: Transfer RNA (tRNA) molecules are approximately 80 nucleotides in length. The record is from Rfam by way of RNAcentral. Lineage: Eukaryota; Metazoa; Arthropoda; Insecta; Coleoptera; Buprestidae.
CCUUUCGUAGCUCAGUAGUCAGAGCGGUGGUAUAUAAAGGCAAAGGUCCCGGGUUCGAAUCCCGGCGAGAGUA